This 500-nucleotide ribosomal RNA is filed under the name uncultured bacterium. Its description in RNAcentral is "partial 16S ribosomal RNA". It matches the Rfam family "Bacterial small subunit ribosomal RNA", at positions 28 to 523 of the family's 1533-position model. The record is from RNAcentral.
GAUGAACGCUAGCGGCAGGCUUAAUACAUGCAAGUCGUGGGGCAGCAUGAGUAGCAAUACUUGAUGGCGACCGGCAAACGGGUGCGGAACACGUACACAACCUUCCGAUAAGUGGGGAAUAGCCCAGAGAAAUUUGGAUUAAUACCCCGUAACAUAUAGAGUAGGCAUCUUCUUUAUAUUAUAGCUUCGGCGCUUAUUGAUGGGUGUGCGUCUGAUUAGGUAGUUGGCGGGGUAACGGCCCACCAAGCCUACGAUCAGUAGCUGAUGUGAGAGCAUGAUCAGCCACACGGGCACUGAGACACGGGCCCGACUCCUACGGGAGGCAGCAGUAAGGAAUAUUGGACAAUGGGCGAAAGCCUGAUCCAGCCAUGCCGCGUGAAGGAUUAAGGUCCUCUGGAUUGUAAACUUCUUUUACUUGGGACGAAAAAAGGGAAUUCUUUCCCACUUGACGGUACCAAGUGAAUAAGCACCAGCUAACUCCGUGCCAGCAGCCGCCGUAA